GGGUGAUUAGCUCAGUGGUAGAGCGCUUCGUUCACAUCGAAGAUGUCGGGGGUUCAAAUCCCUAAUCACCCACCA
Molecule: transfer RNA, 75 nt
Filed under: Paracoccaceae bacterium
Lineage: Bacteria; Pseudomonadati; Pseudomonadota; Alphaproteobacteria; Rhodobacterales; Paracoccaceae
Description: tRNA-Val
Rfam family: tRNA
About the family: Transfer RNA (tRNA) molecules are approximately 80 nucleotides in length. Their secondary structure includes four short double-helical elements and three loops (D, anti-codon, and T loops). Further hydrogen bonds mediate the characteristic L-shaped molecular structure. tRNAs have two regions of fundamental functional importance: the anti-codon, which is responsible for specific mRNA codon recognition, and the 3' end, to which the tRNAs corresponding amino acid is attached (by aminoacyl-tRNA synthetases). tRNAs cope with the degeneracy of the genetic code in two manners: having more than one tRNA (with a specific anti-codon) for a particular amino acid; and 'wobble' base-pairing, i.e. permitting non-standard base-pairing at the 3rd anti-codon position.
Source: RNAcentral